CACACACCACUGUUAAAAUGUUUGGAAUUUUUGGGGUAAUUACAUUUUUUAGCAAGGAUGCAUUAAAUUGAUGUGAUGAAAAGUAAAGGCUUUUUACAUUGUUAUACAAAUUCUAUUUCAAAUAAAUUCUGUUUAACUUCACCAAUAGAUGAAAAAAAAUAUAUUUUUGUUCCACAAAAAUAUUAAGCAGCACUGUUUGUAAUAUUGAUUAAGUAAUGUUUCUUCAGUAUAUCAGAAGGAUUUCUGAAGGAUCAUGACGGAGUAAUGCUGAAGAAUGGAGUAAUGCUGAAAAUUCAGUGUUACAAUCACAGGGAGUUUUCAAAGAACCUAUCUGCAACCUGUCAAUCAAACAGAUAGCUCCGCCUCAAACUCACGCUAUUGGAUGAAUGUUGCUCUGUCAGUCAUGCAUCACAGCCAAGAGUCUAAACAGAUGUGACUGAUCACCAGAAUGUUAAAGAGUGUGUCUCGGGUUCCAGGGAAGCAAGAGAACGUUAUGAAAUGUGACUGGGGGCUGGGAGUGUAUCUCUGCUGUGCUGACCAUGUGUGCGGCUUCAGGCGGCUGCUCCCUGUGAAGCAUUUCAUUGGAAACGCACGGGGCCUCAGUUAUCAUCUGUUGAAAGGAUUACAAGCUCCACACAGUCUGGUGCAAAACAAUUUGCAACUGCUUUCAUUCAGAGGAAGGCCUCAAAAACAUUUUCCCGUACAUCAGUAGUGCAACGACCAAGGUUAGCCUACUGAUAACACAGAAACAUUCUUGGAAAAUGUCAAAACCCCAAUAACAAUAUACUAUAUUAUUUACACAAGCUAGACUAACAACCUUCCUUCACCUCUGCUUGUCCUUUCUUUUCAAUGGAUAUAUAGUACAAUGGUAACCGCCCACUGUUUUAUAGUGGCUGUGGUAUUUUUUCACAUUAAAUUUUCUCCAUUAUGAUUUAAAAACAAAACAAAACAAAAAAUCUACAUUUAAAAUAAUAAUAAUCUUAAUAAUUAAAUUAAUUAAUGAGGUAAUUAACUACUCAUCCCAUGAAACAUAGUAAAUGACAUAAUAGAUCAAAGUAAUAGUAUUAAAUAAAAAUAGGUUUAUACUCGUUCAUUAUAAGUAUUAGAAAAAUAUAUUUUGAUAUAGUUUAUUAUAAAAUUCAAAGAGUUGGUAUGUCGGUUAGAGUUUGUAAUGUGCUUUAAAGUCUUUUCUGCUCACCAAGGCUGCAUUUAUUUGAUUAAAAAAUACAGUAAAAGCAAGAAUAUUGUGAAAUAUUAUUACAAUUUAAAAUAACCAUUUUCUAUUUGAAUAUAUUUUAAAAGGUAAUUUAUUACUGUGAUCAAAGCUGAAUUUUAAGUAUGACUAUUUUCCAAUCCAAUUUUAAAGCAACAUUUUAGCAAAGGCUCAUUUUCAAAGUCUCCUAGAGUUACUGUAAACGGUUGAGUUUUACUGUUUUCGAAUCCAUUCAGCCGAUCUCUGGGUCUGGUGGUAGCACUUUUAGCUUAACUUAGCAUAGAUCAUUGAUUCUGAUUAGACCGUUAGCAUCUCACUCAAAAAUGACUAAAGAGUUUCGAUAUAAUUCCUAUUUAAAACUCGGCUGUGUGUGUGUGUGUGUACA
Molecule: long non-coding RNA, 1598 nt
Organism: Carassius auratus (goldfish)
Lineage: Eukaryota; Metazoa; Chordata; Actinopteri; Cypriniformes; Cyprinidae
Exons: 4
Source: RefSeq, a predicted model, not a curated record